Molecule: non-coding RNA, 45 nt
Organism: Brugia malayi
Lineage: Eukaryota; Metazoa; Nematoda; Chromadorea; Rhabditida; Onchocercidae
Source: Rfam
CCAACGGCCCUCUUUAGGGCCACAAAUCUAUGGAUCAUGCUGUAC